GACGAACGCUGGCGGCGUGCCUAACACAUGCAAGUCGAGCGGAGAUGAUGUGAGGAAGUUUUCGGAUGGAAUCACAUUAUUUUAGCGGCGGACGGGUGAGUAACGCGUGAGCGACCAACCUUGCACAGGGGGAUAACGGACCGAAAGGUUCACUAAUACCGCAUGAGACCACGGUGUUGCAUGACACAGGGGGUCAAAGGAGCAAUCCGGUGCAAGACGGGCUCGCGUCCGAUUAGGUAGUUGGAGGGGUAACGGCCCACCAAGCCUAUGAUCGGUAGCCGACCUGAGAGGGUGAUCGGCCACAUUGGAACUGAGAUACGGUCCAAACUCCUACGGGAGGCAGCAGUGGGGAAUAUUGGGCAAUGGGGGAAACCCUGACCCAGCAACGCCGCGUGAAGGAAGAAGGUUUUCGGAUUGUAAACUUCUGUCCUUGGUGAAGAGAAGAAGACGGUAGCCAAGGAGGAAGCCCCGGCUAACUACGUGCCAGCAGCCGCGGUAAUGUAUCG
RNAcentral lists this ribosomal RNA (506 nucleotides) under uncultured bacterium. RNAcentral describes it as "bacterial SSU rRNA". It matches the Rfam family "Bacterial small subunit ribosomal RNA", at positions 28 to 530 of the family's 1533-position model. The record is from RNAcentral.